RNAcentral lists this ribosomal RNA (301 nucleotides) under uncultured bacterium. Its description in RNAcentral is "partial 16S ribosomal RNA". It matches the Rfam family "Bacterial small subunit ribosomal RNA", at positions 509 to 808 of the family's 1533-position model. The record is from RNAcentral.
CAGCCGCCGCGGUAAUACGAAGGGUGCAAGCGUUACUCGGAAUUACUGGGCGUAAAGCGUGCGUAGGUGGUGGUUUAAGUCCGUUGUGAAAGCCCUGGGCUCAACCUGGGAAUUGCAGUGGAUACUGGGUCACUAGAGUGUGGUAGAGGAUAGUGGAAUUUCCGGUGUAGCAGUGAAAUGCGUAGAGAUCGGAAGGAACAUCUGUGGCGAAGGCGACUAUCUGGGCCAACACUGACACUGAGGCACGAAAGCGUGGGGAGCAAACAGGAUUAGAUACCCCGUAGUCCCUGUCUCUUAUACC